RNAcentral lists this ribosomal RNA (2904 nucleotides) under Escherichia coli. Its description in RNAcentral is "23S ribosomal RNA". It matches the Rfam family "Bacterial large subunit ribosomal RNA". Lineage: Bacteria; Pseudomonadati; Pseudomonadota; Gammaproteobacteria; Enterobacterales; Enterobacteriaceae. The record is from RNAcentral.
GGUUAAGCGACUAAGCGUACACGGUGGAUGCCCUGGCAGUCAGAGGCGAUGAAGGACGUGCUAAUCUGCGAUAAGCGUCGGUAAGGUGAUAUGAACCGUUAUAACCGGCGAUUUCCGAAUGGGGAAACCCAGUGUGUUUCGACACACUAUCAUUAACUGAAUCCAUAGGUUAAUGAGGCGAACCGGGGGAACUGAAACAUCUAAGUACCCCGAGGAAAAGAAAUCAACCGAGAUUCCCCCAGUAGCGGCGAGCGAACGGGGAGCAGCCCAGAGCCUGAAUCAGUGUGUGUGUUAGUGGAAGCGUCUGGAAAGGCGCGCGAUACAGGGUGACAGCCCCGUACACAAAAAUGCACAUGCUGUGAGCUCGAUGAGUAGGGCGGGACACGUGGUAUCCUGUCUGAAUAUGGGGGGACCAUCCUCCAAGGCUAAAUACUCCUGACUGACCGAUAGUGAACCAGUACCGUGAGGGAAAGGCGAAAAGAACCCCGGCGAGGGGAGUGAAAAAGAACCUGAAACCGUGUACGUACAAGCAGUGGGAGCACGCUUAGGCGUGUGACUGCGUACCUUUUGUAUAAUGGGUCAGCGACUUAUAUUCUGUAGCAAGGUUAACCGAAUAGGGGAGCCGAAGGGAAACCGAGUCUUAACUGGGCGUUAAGUUGCAGGGUAUAGACCCGAAACCCGGUGAUCUAGCCAUGGGCAGGUUGAAGGUUGGGUAACACUAACUGGAGGACCGAACCGACUAAUGUUGAAAAAUUAGCGGAUGACUUGUGGCUGGGGGUGAAAGGCCAAUCAAACCGGGAGAUAGCUGGUUCUCCCCGAAAGCUAUUUAGGUAGCGCCUCGUGAAUUCAUCUCCGGGGGUAGAGCACUGUUUCGGCAAGGGGGUCAUCCCGACUUACCAACCCGAUGCAAACUGCGAAUACCGGAGAAUGUUAUCACGGGAGACACACGGCGGGUGCUAACGUCCGUCGUGAAGAGGGAAACAACCCAGACCGCCAGCUAAGGUCCCAAAGUCAUGGUUAAGUGGGAAACGAUGUGGGAAGGCCCAGACAGCCAGGAUGUUGGCUUAGAAGCAGCCAUCAUUUAAAGAAAGCGUAAUAGCUCACUGGUCGAGUCGGCCUGCGCGGAAGAUGUAACGGGGCUAAACCAUGCACCGAAGCUGCGGCAGCGACGCUGAUGCGUUGUUGGGUAGGGGAGCGUUCUGUAAGCCUGCGAAGGUGUGCUGUGAGGCAUGCUGGAGGUAUCAGAAGUGCGAAUGCUGACAUAAGUAACGAUAAAGCGGGUGAAAAGCCCGCUCGCCGGAAGACCAAGGGUUCCUGUCCAACGUUAAUCGGGGCAGGGUGAGUCGACCCCUAAGGCGAGGCCGAAAGGCGUAGUCGAUGGGAAACAGGUUAAUAUUCCUGUACUUGGUGUUACUGCGAAGGGGGGACGGAGAAGGCUAUGUUGGCCGGGCGACGGUUGUCCCGGUUUAAGCGUGUAGGCUGGUUUUCCAGGCAAAUCCGGAAAAUCAAGGCUGAGGCGUGAUGACGAGGCACUACGGUGCUGAAGCAACAAAUGCCCUGCUUCCAGGAAAAGCCUCUAAGCAUCAGGUAACAUCAAAUCGUACCCCAAACCGACACAGGUGGUCAGGUAGAGAAUACCAAGGCGCUUGAGAGAACUCGGGUGAAGGAACUAGGCAAAAUGGUGCCGUAACUUCGGGAGAAGGCACGCUGAUAUGUAGGUGAGGUCCCUCGCGGAUGGAGCUGAAAUCAGUCGAAGAUACCAGCUGGCUGCAACUGUUUAUUAAAAACACAGCACUGUGCAAACACGAAAGUGGACGUAUACGGUGUGACGCCUGCCCGGUGCCGGAAGGUUAAUUGAUGGGGUCAGCGCAAGCGAAGCUCUUGAUCGAAGCCCCGGUAAACGGCGGCCGUAACUAUAACGGUCCUAAGGUAGCGAAAUUCCUUGUCGGGUAAGUUCCGACCUGCACGAAUGGCGUAAUGAUGGCCAGGCUGUCUCCACCCGAGACUCAGUGAAAUUGAACUCGCUGUGAAGAUGCAGUGUACCCGCGGCAAGACGGAAAGACCCCGUGAACCUUUACUAUAGCUUGACACUGAACAUUGAGCCUUGAUGUGUAGGAUAGGUGGGAGGCUUAGAAGUGUGGACGCCAGUCUGCAUGGAGCCGACCUUGAAAUACCACCCUUUAAUGUUUGAUGUUCUAACGUUGACCCGUAAUCCGGGUUGCGGACAGUGUCUGGUGGGUAGUUUGACUGGGGCGGUCUCCUCCUAAAGAGUAACGGAGGAGCACGAAGGUUGGCUAAUCCUGGUCGGACAUCAGGAGGUUAGUGCAAUGGCAUAAGCCAGCUUGACUGCGAGCGUGACGGCGCGAGCAGGUGCGAAAGCAGGUCAUAGUGAUCCGGUGGUUCUGAAUGGAAGGGCCAUCGCUCAACGGAUAAAAGGUACUCCGGGGAUAACAGGCUGAUACCGCCCAAGAGUUCAUAUCGACGGCGGUGUUUGGCACCUCGAUGUCGGCUCAUCACAUCCUGGGGCUGAAGUAGGUCCCAAGGGUAUGGCUGUUCGCCAUUUAAAGUGGUACGCGAGCUGGGUUUAGAACGUCGUGAGACAGUUCGGUCCCUAUCUGCCGUGGGCGCUGGAGAACUGAGGGGGGCUGCUCCUAGUACGAGAGGACCGGAGUGGACGCAUCACUGGUGUUCGGGUUGUCAUGCCAAUGGCACUGCCCGGUAGCUAAAUGCGGAAGAGAUAAGUGCUGAAAGCAUCUAAGCACGAAACUUGCCCCGAGAUGAGUUCUCCCUGACCCUUUAAGGGUCCUGAAGGAACGUUGAAGACGACGACGUUGAUAGGCCGGGUGUGUAAGCGCAGCGAUGCGUUGAGCUAACCGGUACUAAUGAACCGUGAGGCUUAACCUU